This 219-nucleotide ribosomal RNA is filed under the name uncultured bacterium. RNAcentral's name for it is "partial 16S ribosomal RNA". It matches the Rfam family "Bacterial small subunit ribosomal RNA", at positions 1276 to 1500 of the family's 1533-position model. The record is from RNAcentral.
UUAAAGUCAUCCUCAGCUCGGACUGGGGUCGUGCAACCCGACCCCACGAAGCUGGAUUCGCUAGUAAUCGCGCAUCAGCCAUGGCGCGGUGAAUACGUUCCCGGGCCUUGUACACACCGCCCGUCAAGCCAUGGAAGCCGGGGGGUGCCUGAAGUGUGCAGCCGCAAGGAGCGCCCUAAGGUAAAACCGGUGACUGGGGCUAAGUCGUAACAAGGUAGC